GUGGGGAAUUUUGGACAAUGGGGGCAACCCUGAUCCAGCCAUGCCGCGUGCGGGAAGAAGGCCUUCGGGUUGUAAACCGCUUUUGUCAGGGAAGAAAUCCUUUGGGUUAAUACCUCGGAGGGAUGACGGUACCUGAAGAAUAAGCACCGGCUAACUACGUGCCAGCAGCCGCGGUAAUACGUAGGGUGCGAGCGUUAAUCGGAAUUACUGGGCGUAAAGCGUGCGCAGGCGGUUUUGUAAGAUCGAUGUGAAAUCCCCGGGCUCAACCUGGGAACUGCAUUGGUGACUGCAAGGCUGGAGUGCGGCAGAGGGGGAUGGAAUUCCGCGUGUAGCAGUGAAAUGCGUAGAUAUGCGGAGGAACACCGAUGGCGAAGGCAAUCCCCUGGGCCUGCACUGACGCUCAUGCACGAAAGCGUGGGGAGCAAACAGGAUUAGAUACCCCGGUAGUCC
This 450-nucleotide ribosomal RNA is filed under the name uncultured bacterium. RNAcentral describes it as "partial 16S ribosomal RNA". It matches the Rfam family "Bacterial small subunit ribosomal RNA", at positions 354 to 796 of the family's 1533-position model. The record is from RNAcentral.